AACGAACGCUGGCGGCAGGCCUAACACAUGCAAGUCGAGCGCGCCCUUCGGGGUGAGCGGCGGACGGGUGAGUAACGCGUGGGAACGUGCCCUUUUCUACGGAAUAGCCUCGGGAAACUGAGAGUAAUACCGUAUACGCCCUUUGGGGGAAAGAUUUAUCGGAAAAGGAUCGGCCCGCGUUGGAUUAGGUAGUUGGUGGGGUAAUGGCCUACCAAGCCGACGAUCCAUAGCUGGUUUGAGAGGAUGAUCAGCCACACUGGGACUGAGACACGGCCCAGACUCCUACGGGAGGCAGCAGUGGGGAAUCUUAGACAAUGGAGGCAACCCUGAUCUAGCCAUGCCGCGUGAGUGAUGGAGGCCUUAGGGUUGUAAAGCUCUUUCAGCUGGGAAGAUAAUGACGGUACCAGCAGAAGAAGCCCCGGCUAACUCCGUG
This 433-nucleotide ribosomal RNA is filed under the name uncultured bacterium. RNAcentral describes it as "partial 16S ribosomal RNA". It matches the Rfam family "Bacterial small subunit ribosomal RNA", at positions 29 to 507 of the family's 1533-position model. The record is from RNAcentral.